Molecule: non-coding RNA, 233 nt
Organism: Phascolarctos cinereus (koala)
Lineage: Eukaryota; Metazoa; Chordata; Mammalia; Diprotodontia; Phascolarctidae
Source: RefSeq, a predicted model, not a curated record
AUAUGAUGGAACAGUGGAAGAUGUUUCAUUUGAACAAAGAGAAAGAAAAGCAGGAACGACAACUAAAGAAGAACCAAGAAACGGGAGCAGAGAUGUCAUAUAGCAGCAGAUCCAAAAUACCCUUCAAGAAGGAAGGACUGAGGCCUAAUUCAUCAGGCAAAGGCUACACGUAAAAAUCAUCAGAGACUUACAACUUUGAUAUCUUCAGUGCCCUUCCAACGUUUACUUCUUCA